This 1547-nucleotide ribosomal RNA is filed under the name Neisseria gonorrhoeae. Its description in RNAcentral is "bacterial SSU rRNA". It matches the Rfam family "Bacterial small subunit ribosomal RNA". The record is from RNAcentral. Lineage: Bacteria; Pseudomonadati; Pseudomonadota; Betaproteobacteria; Neisseriales; Neisseriaceae.
AUUGAACAUAAGAGUUUGAUCCUGGCUCAGAUUGAACGCUGGCGGCAUGCUUUACACAUGCAAGUCGGACGGCAGCACAGGGAAGCUUGCUUCUCGGGUGGCGAGUGGCGAACGGGUGAGUAACAUAUCGGAACGUACCGGGUAGCGGGGGAUAACUGAUCGAAAGAUCAGCUAAUACCGCAUACGUCUUGAGAGGGAAAGCAGGGGACCUUCGGGCCUUGCGCUAUCCGAGCGGCCGAUAUCUGAUUAGCUGGUUGGCGGGGUAAAGGCCCACCAAGGCGACGAUCAGUAGCGGGUCUGAGAGGAUGAUCCGCCACACUGGGACUGAGACACGGCCCAGACUCCUACGGGAGGCAGCAGUGGGGAAUUUUGGACAAUGGGCGCAAGCCUGAUCCAGCCAUGCCGCGUGUCUGAAGAAGGCCUUCGGGUUGUAAAGGACUUUUGUCAGGGAAGAAAAGGACGUUGCCAAUAUCGGCGGCCGAUGACGGUACCUGAAGAAUAAGCACCGGCUAACUACGUGCCAGCAGCCGCGGUAAUACGUAGGGUGCGAGCGUUAAUCGGAAUUACUGGGCGUAAAGCGGGCGCAGACGGUUACUUAAGCAGGAUGUGAAAUCCCCGGGCUCAACCCGGGAACUGCGUUCUGAACUGGGUGACUCGAGUGUGUCAGAGGGAGGUGGAAUUCCACGUGUAGCAGUGAAAUGCGUAGAGAUGUGGAGGAAUACCGAUGGCGAAGGCAGCCUCCUGGGAUAACACUGACGUUCAUGUCCGAAAGCGUGGGUAGCAAACAGGAUUAGAUACCCUGGUAGUCCACGCCCUAAACGAUGUCAAUUAGCUGUUGGGCAACUUGAUUGCUUGGUAGCGUAGCUAACGCGUGAAAUUGACCGCCUGGGGAGUACGGUCGCAAGAUUAAAACUCAAAGGAAUUGACGGGGACCCGCACAAGCGGUGGAUGAUGUGGAUUAAUUCGAUGCAACGCGAAGAACCUUACCUGGUUUUGACAUGUGCGGAAUCCUCCGGAGACGGAGGAGUGCCUUCGGGAGCCGUAACACAGGUGCUGCAUGGCUGUCGUCAGCUCGUGUCGUGAGAUGUUGGGUUAAGUCCCGCAACGAGCGCAACCCUUGUCAUUAGUUGCCAUCAUUCGGUUGGGCACUCUAAUGAGACUGCCGGUGACAAGCCGGAGGAAGGUGGGGAUGACGUCAAGUCCUCAUGCCCUUAUGACCAGGGCUUCACACGUCAUACAAUGGUCGGUACAGAGGGUAGCCAAGCCGCGAGGCGGAGCCAAUCUCACAAAACCGAUCGUAGUCCGGAUUGCACUCUGCAACUCGAGUGCAUGAAGUCGGAAUCGCUAGUAAUCGCAGGUCAGCAUACUGCGGUGAAUACGUUCCCGGGUCUUGUACACACCGCCCGUCACACCAUGGGAGUGGGGGAUACCAGAAGUAGGUAGGGUAACCGCAAGGAGUCCGCUUACCACGGUAUGCUUCAUGACUGGGGUGAAGUCGUAACAAGGUAGCCGUAGGGGAACCUGCGGCUGGAUCACCUCCUUUCUAG